CCUGAGGCCUUACUUAAGGCCAUUAAAUUCUUUCUGCAAAGAUUUC
This is a non-coding RNA of Felis catus (domestic cat), 46 nucleotides long. The record is from Rfam. NCBI's taxonomy places the organism in Eukaryota, Metazoa, Chordata, Mammalia, Carnivora, Felidae.